GAUGAGCUGGUGAUGCUGGGAGGAGAAGUGGCCACGCUGAGGGAUACUGUGGAGGAAGGAUUCAAAGCGAUGGAAGCUUGUUUUAAAGAAAUCAAGGAGAUGCUGAGCACGGAGGCGAGAUCCUCCGACCAAAACGACUAAGUUUUUUUCCCCUGAACUCGUAGAUUAGGUUUUAUUUUAUCUUUUGUUUUUUCUUGUUUUAGCGUCUGUUUUGUCUGUGUUAGAGUCGAGUCUACUUGCAUCGUUUGAUGGUGAAAGAUUGUGCAUGCUGAAUUCUGUCUUGGUAUGAUUGGUGGAUUGAGUAUGAAAAUGCAUGAUGGUAGUUGUGAGGAUACUGAAAAUACCCACCGGUGAGAUCAGGGCCAAAUUGAAAAAAUGCAUGCUUGUGGUGAGAAUUUGCUGUGACUAGGAAAUCUUGACUUUGUUUGAGGAC
RNAcentral lists this long non-coding RNA (433 nucleotides) under Salvia miltiorrhiza (redroot sage). Its description in RNAcentral is "long non-coding RNA (SMIL_LNC010886)". Lineage: Eukaryota; Viridiplantae; Streptophyta; Magnoliopsida; Lamiales; Lamiaceae. The record is from RNAcentral.